AUGGAGUCUGGUGCUGGAGAUGCCUGCACAUCAUUGUCCAGAAAUGAAAUCUACGGCAUCGUCGUUAACAGCGGCGAUCGAGACCAGUACCUGUGCUGUACAAGCGGCAGAGGAGGCGCGUUCAAUGUAUGCAUUACAAACGCUUCAGACGUGUGGAGCACAGAGUUUACCAGCGAAAAGCUGUCUGAACAUAGACGUCAGCAUGGGGUCACCAGCACAGAGGAAUACAAAACCAAACUCCGGAAAGCCCUGCAGGGUGUGAGCGCCUCCCUGUUGGUGGAGGGCAGUACAGCCACACUGCGGCUGGGGAGGGAUGACGACCCCAGAGGCCUGACCUUCCACCUCAUAAAGCUGCCUGAUGCCAAGGCGAGGCUGGAGCUCCAGGCGGUGCUGUUCGGGAUGGCGGGCCGGGUCGGUGUGCUGGAGCAGCGCCUGGAGAGAGUCACUAGAUCUUACCCCACCUCUAGAGGGAGCCGCCACCACCAGCCCUGUGAAGAGCCAGCAGCGAGCAACAGCAGCAGAUUUUGAGCCCAGGAUGCACGCGACCGGAGGAGGCAGGACAUCCGCCGCAGUCAAGAAGCGGCUCCCAGGGGCCUCUCUCAUUAACCCGGGGAGUAAAAGGUAACAGCUCCCAGGGGCCUCUCUCAUUAACCCGGGGAGUAAAAGAAAAGUGAAAGCGACUGGGGUUGCUUUUGAAGACAGUGAGGAGAUGAAACAGUGAACCUGGAAAGCGCUCUGCAGCGUUCAUCACGCUGCGGAGAACAGGUUCAGCACCCGACAGCAGAGAGUACUCCUGCGCUUCACUGUGUGGAGCUGCUGUCUCUUGAAGUUUCAUUCUGACGUCACUAAAGCCUUCCUUCGCUCCGAUGGAGUUCAUGACUGUGUGAUAGACAUGCAGGACUCCUGCUUUGUAGGAUAAAGAUGAACUUGGAUCGGAAGAACCAUAUCAAUUACUUUUUAUACAAAUUUUAGCUUGUGCUUUUUAAACCCAAUGGAUUUUAAACCUGAUUUCAUUUUUUU
RNA transcript from Acipenser ruthenus (sterlet), 1020 nucleotides. It is a transcript of the gene named protein PAXX, with no coding region annotated. Lineage: Eukaryota; Metazoa; Chordata; Actinopteri; Acipenseriformes; Acipenseridae. The transcript is spliced from 7 exons. The record is from RefSeq and is a predicted model, not a curated record.